UGCAUGAGACGAUCUGGUUCAGACAUUCCAGCACAGAUUAAGCACUCUAGGAGAACAUGACUCCUUGAAUGAGAGCAGUUACUUAACUGAUCUCCCCAUUCAGCAAGUGAUGUACCACAAAAUUGAAAAAUAAUGAAGCACAGUCUUCUACAUUUUUUGUUUUUUUGCUGGAAAUAUGGAAAAGCACUAUGGCUAAUGGAAGGACUUGAUGCCAGUGAUCUGACCCUUCAGCUAAGCCAUCCAGCUCCACUCUUCUCUCUGAUGGCAGUGGACCCAGCCCACGGCACCGCCCCACUUCUUCAGAAGGGACCCAGCCCAUGGUACUGCCCCCACUUCCAGCAUCACCUGCAGGGCCUGAGCCAGUAUUCUUUGUGUGCCAUCCAUUUUCUGCCUUUCCUUAGAUGAAUCCAAAUAGUAAUUGAUUUUGUUAUUCUGAGAAUCCUAGAAUCCUGGUGUUGGAUGAAGGCUUACAGAUCAGCCACUUCACAAAUUUCUCCCAGCAUGAAGAACUGAGUAUUGCUUGAACAUGUUUUGAAGAAGCACUCUUUCCUCUUCUAGGCUUUCUAUUCCAUGUUUGUUUAUUGUCUCACACCACUCAAGAAACGGGGCUACAGUGGUAAACAAAAUUGCCGCUGCAGAGCUUGGAAUUGAGUACAGAAGAAGAAUUACCACAUAAUUGCAAAGAUGUUAAAAGUUCAUCAGCAUUGUUCACUACCCUCUUUCCUAGGUUGAAUCUGAAUCAAACCCACAUGUCGUGAACACCCACUCAUGUCUUCAUCUGCCUGCUGAAACUUCCAGGUGGUAUUCUUUUAUAUGAUGGCUCCUGGGCACGGUAAAUGAGUUCUUGCCCAUUUCAGGGGUUUUAUUUCUUUAACUCCCACAGCCCUGAGACCUUGACGGGAGUUGACUACUCCAUAAAUGCCUGGCUCCAUCAGGAAUGUCAGCUUUGGUCAUUGUAGCUGGACUUUGGACCUAGCUGAAGUUGCAGAGACUACUGGCAUGCAAAUUAGUCCUUUAAUAUGUUGAAGAAUAGAUGAGAGACAUUUUGCAAGAUUUCAAAUGAGAAAAAAAUAAUGUGAACUACCUGCCACUAUGACUGUUUUCAUAUGAAAAACUUUAGUAAGGAACAUGAGAGCUAAAAGUUGUAAACUUUAUGAUGGAAUAGUUUUACAUAAUACUUUUGUUAAAACUAUGAAGGCACAAAAAAUUACACCAAAAUUCAUAAAAGUGAUUACAAAUAGGGAGAAGAGGGGCCAUAGGUAGAAAAAAUAAAAUUAUAAUGUGCAAAUGUUAUAUUGCUUUUAUUUUGUACCAUUGAAUGCAUUAACUAUUCACAAUUCCAUGAAUUUUUAAAAUUAUGUUGAUUAUCAUCAUAUAAAAUUGGUUUAAAAAAAGCA
Molecule: long non-coding RNA, 1397 nt
Filed under: Macaca mulatta (Rhesus monkey)
Lineage: Eukaryota; Metazoa; Chordata; Mammalia; Primates; Cercopithecidae
Description: lncRNA (ENSMMUG00000057385.1)
Source: RNAcentral